GGCCAAAACUGGUGUCGAUCGACA
RNAcentral lists this non-coding RNA (24 nucleotides) under Arabidopsis thaliana (thale cress). Lineage: Eukaryota; Viridiplantae; Streptophyta; Magnoliopsida; Brassicales; Brassicaceae. The record is from RNAcentral.